RNAcentral lists this ribosomal RNA (779 nucleotides) under uncultured Neocallimastigales. RNAcentral describes it as "partial large subunit ribosomal RNA". It matches the Rfam family "Eukaryotic large subunit ribosomal RNA", at positions 26 to 643 of the family's 3401-position model. Lineage: Eukaryota; Fungi; Neocallimastigomycota; Neocallimastigomycetes; Neocallimastigales. The record is from RNAcentral.
CGUCUAUAUACGUAUAGCAUAUCAAUAAGCGGAGGAAAAGAAACUAACAAGGAUUCCCUUAGUAACGGCGAGUGAAGCGGGAAGAGCUCAAAUUUGAAAUCUUCAAGGUUUUACCUUGACGAAUUGUAGUUUAAAGAAGUGUUUUCUGUUGAAGUUUUGGUAAAAGUUCUUUGGAAUAGGACAUCAUAGAGGGUGAGAAUCCCGUAUUUGACCAUUAUUUUCAGCUGUGUGAUACACUUUCAAAGAGUCGGAUUGUUUGGGAAUGCAGUCCAAAAUGGGUGGUAAAUUUCAUCUAAAGCUAAAUAUUGGCGAGAGACCGAUAGCGAACAAGUACCGUGAGGGAAAGAUGAAAAGAACUUUGAAAAGAGAGUUAAACAGUACGUGAAAUUGUCAAAAGGGAAGCGUUUGACACCAGUGUUGUUUUUUCCGAAAAUCAAUUACGAAUGUUUUGUUUUUUAAGAAGUUAUGACUUCAUCGGCUUGCUUCUUUCUUUACGAAACUUUCUUAAUGCACUUUUCGGUUAACAAGUCAACAUCAAUUUCUUUUGUUGUAAAAGGAGUAUGAGGAAGGUGGCUUUCUUUUCGGAGAAAGUGUUUAUAGCCUUGUACCUUCUGCAAUCGGAGAGAUUGAGGUCUGCAGCGUAGAUCCUUCGGGGUUAGAUACAUUUGUGCUAAGUUAUAGCUUUUCAUAGACAACUUGUUGACUUAUGUUAAGUCUUGUAGCUUACUCGCUUAUGCUAUUUUACCUACGCUUAGGAUGUUGACACACGCGCGUGCUCG